RNAcentral lists this ribosomal RNA (278 nucleotides) under Aporrectodea trapezoides. RNAcentral's name for it is "partial 12S ribosomal RNA". Lineage: Eukaryota; Metazoa; Annelida; Clitellata; Crassiclitellata; Lumbricidae. The record is from RNAcentral.
CGCCGUCGUAAGCACACCUCUAAAAGUACGAGUAUGCAACUAUGUCAAACUCAUAUACGUCAGGUCAAAGUGCAGCUAAUGAAAGGGGCGACGAUGGGUUACACCCUAAAUAAAGAUACGAAAUAUGGCACCAAAAGCCACAUGAAGGUGGACUUGGACGUAACAAAAAUACAAAAUUAAAAUGAAAACGAAUCUGAGACAUGCACACAUCGCCCGUCACUCUUGCCCAAAGGUGAGAUAAGUCGUAACAAAGUAGGUGUAACGGAAGUUGCACCUGU